Molecule: transfer RNA, 68 nt
Filed under: Batracomorphus extentus
Lineage: Eukaryota; Metazoa; Arthropoda; Insecta; Hemiptera; Cicadellidae
Description: tRNA-Arg
Source: RNAcentral
UAACAAAGAAGUAAAUAAUUACAUUUAGUUUCGACCUAAAUUUAGAGUAAAAAUAUACUCCAUGUUUU